Molecule: ribosomal RNA, 494 nt
Filed under: uncultured bacterium
Lineage: Bacteria
Description: partial 16S ribosomal RNA
Rfam family: Bacterial small subunit ribosomal RNA
Source: RNAcentral
GACGAACGCUGGCGGCGUGCUUAACACAUGCAAGUCGAACGGAAAGGCCUGCUUUCCCUUGUGGAUUGCGGGUACUCGAGUGGCGAACGGGUGAGUAACACGUGAGUGAUCUGCCCCCAACUUGGGUAUAAGCCUGGGAAACUGGGUCUAAUUCCCGAUAGGACUGCAGGGUAGUGCCUGUGGUGGAAAACGAUUUUCUAGUGGUUGGGGAUGAGCUCGCGGCCUAUCAGCUUGUGGGUGGGGUAAUGGCCUACCAAGGCGGCGACGGGUAGCCGGCCUGAGAGGGCCGACCGCCACAUUGGGCCUGAGUUACGGCCCAGACGCUGACGGGAGGAAGCAGUGGGGAAUAUUGCACGAUGGGCGGAAGCCGGAUGCAGCGACGGCGCGUGGGGGAUGACGGCCUGAGGGUUGUAAACUCCUUUCGACCGCGAGGAAGCCACCUGGUUGGAAGGGUGGUGACGGUAGUGGUAGAAGAAGCACCGGCUAACUACGUG